AAGUCGUAACAAGGUUUCCGUAGGUGAACCUGCGGAAGGAUCAUUACUGGGUAAAGGCUACUCGCCUCCAACCCCACCCUCUGUAACCGCGGCCCGGAUUCGGCGUCUGGCGGGGGACUUCUCUGUUCGCGGAGGCCCCCUCGCCUGCCGGAAUCAGCCAACACUGCCUCGAAAAUUGAAGUCUGAGAACAAGUUUAACUAAACAAAACUUUCAACAACGGAUCUCUUGGUUCUG
This 235-nucleotide unclassified non-coding RNA is filed under the name air metagenome. Its description in RNAcentral is "partial contains small subunit ribosomal RNA, internal transcribed spacer 1, and 5.8S ribosomal RNA". The stretch from base 1 to 46 matches the Rfam family "Eukaryotic small subunit ribosomal RNA", at positions 1786 to 1831 of the family's 1831-position model. The record is from RNAcentral.